Molecule: ribosomal RNA, 497 nt
Filed under: uncultured bacterium
Lineage: Bacteria
Description: partial 16S ribosomal RNA
Rfam family: Bacterial small subunit ribosomal RNA
Source: RNAcentral
GAUGAACGCUGGCGGCGUGCCUAAUACAUGCAAGUCGAGCGAACAGAUAAGGAGCUUGCUCCUUUGACGUUAGCGGCGGACGGGUGAGUAACACGUGGAUAACCUACCUAUAAGACUGGGAUAACUUCGGGAAACCGGAGCUAAUACCGGAUAACAUAUUGAACCGCAUGGUUCAAUAGUGAAAGGCGGCUUUGCUGUUACUUAUAGAUGGAUCCGCGCCGUAUUAGCUAGUUGGUAAGGUAACGGCUUACCAAGGCAACGAUACGUAGCCGACCUGAGAGGGUGAUCGGCCACACUGGAACUGAGACACGGUCCAGACUCCUACGGGAGGCAGCAGUAGGGAAUCUUCCGCAAUGGGCGAAAGCCUGACGGAGCAACGCCGCGUGAGUGAUGAAGGUCUUCGGAUCGUAAAACUCUGUUAUCAGGGAAGAACAAAUGUGUAAGUAACUGUGCACAUCUUGACGGUACCUGAUCAGAAAGCCACGGCUAACUACGUG